Molecule: small nucleolar RNA, 136 nt
Organism: Salvia hispanica
Lineage: Eukaryota; Viridiplantae; Streptophyta; Magnoliopsida; Lamiales; Lamiaceae
Product: small nucleolar RNA Z247
Source: RefSeq, a predicted model, not a curated record
AUCCUUGAUGAGGAUCAAAUCCUUUAUAUUCUUGGUGGCCUCGGGGAUGAGUAUAAUCCUGUAAUGGUAACUAUAACUUCAAAAUCAGAUGGCUGGACUGUCCAAGAUGUUGGAGCUCUUCUUUUGAGCUUGGAGU